RNAcentral lists this ribosomal RNA (451 nucleotides) under uncultured bacterium. RNAcentral's name for it is "partial 16S ribosomal RNA". It matches the Rfam family "Bacterial small subunit ribosomal RNA", at positions 29 to 523 of the family's 1533-position model. The record is from RNAcentral.
AACGAACGCUGGCGGCAGGCUUAACACAUGCAAGUCGAACGGACGUAGCAAUACGCUAGUGGCAGACGGGUGAGUAACGCGUGGGAAUGUGCCCUUUAGUUCGGAAUAACACAGAGAAAUUUGUGCUAAUACCGGAUAAGCCCGAGAGGGGAAAGAUUUACCGCUGAAGGAGCAGCCCGCGUCUGAUUAGCUAGUUGGUGAGGUAAUGGCUCACCAAGGCGACGAUCAGUAGCUGGUCCGAGAGGAUGAUCAGCCACACUGGGACUGAGACACGGCCCAGACUCCUACGGGAGGAAGCAGUGGGGAAUAUUGGACAAUGGGGGCAACCCUGAUCCAGCCAUGCCGCGUGAGUGAUGAAGGCCUUAGGGUUGUAAAACUCUUUUGUCCCGGAAGAUAAUGACUGUACCGGAAGAAUAAGCCCCGGCUAACUUCGUGCCAGCCGCCGCGGUAA